RNAcentral lists this small RNA (107 nucleotides) under Marmota monax (woodchuck). Lineage: Eukaryota; Metazoa; Chordata; Mammalia; Rodentia; Sciuridae. The record is from RNAcentral.
ACCAGGUGUGGUGGCUCAUGCCUGUAAUCCCAGUGACUAGGGAGGCUGAGGCAGGAGGAUAGCAAGUUCCAGACUAGCCUUGAUAACUUAGAGAGAUCCUGUCUCAA